This 1689-nucleotide long non-coding RNA is filed under the name Mus musculus (house mouse). RNAcentral's name for it is "predicted gene, 29676". Lineage: Eukaryota; Metazoa; Chordata; Mammalia; Rodentia; Muridae. The record is from RNAcentral.
AAGGACCAAUGGCUGCCUCAGCAGACAUGUGCACAGCCAGAUAGCAUCAAGGAACAGAAUGGCAGCCCUUUUAAUGAUCUUGCUCCACCUCAGAAAAAUGGAGCUGCAGAAUUUGGGUCUCAGGUGCGGUGUGCCUCUCCAGCUUUGGCUCCUCAGUGCUGGCGACCCUGACAGGCCUAUUGGAAGAGGCAAUCAACGUAACAGAGAAUGGAAGAUCUGCCAGAUGGACUCGAUGCCAAGAGAGAUGCCCGAGGGCAGUCAUUCUACAGGAAUGGGAAGAUGAGAACCCACAUCACACUGUUCAAAUGUCCCCUUCCCAGAGAUCCCCAAAUUAUUCACCCAAAAGACCUUAUCACACAGCAGGAAGAGGUCCCAGAAAACCUGGCUUUUCUGAGACAAGACAGCAUGGUGCCCAAUGCCUGGGCUUUGGAGUCAGGCCAGCAUGAGCUGUAAGCCCAAGUUUACUCUUCAUAGGAGUUAAUUUUAGUCUUUUCUGUCUCUGUGUUCUUAACCUUUGACCUGAACCUUUAACCUUAAACUUGAAACUUUAUCCUUAAAUGAAGCAUAAAACCUACUCACAUUAAAGUAGGGGGGGGUGGCAACAAAUUCGUGCACCAGGAGUUCUAGAGCUGGGGGGAGGGACGAGAAAUCUGCAACAUACAAAGUGCAGCUGUGCACAGUAAUACAGGUGAAUCUCACACACUAACGCUGAGUGACAGGUCAGACAAGAGAGUAUAUACAUAGUGUACACUGCACGUGUGCAGGGUGAAAGUGUAUGCGAGCACGUGUGCAAAGUAAAAGUGUACACCAGCAUGUGUGUAAAGUAAGAGUGUAUACCAGUGUGUGUGCAAAGUGAACAUAUACAGCAGCAUGUGUGCAGAGUGAAAGUGUACACCAGUGUGUGUGCAAAGUGAAAGCUGUGGGAACCAAACCUGCGUUGUCAUAAGCUGAGGUGGGGUUACCUAAUGUGGGGGGGAGGGGAUGGAGGUGUGGCUGUGAGACAGGUGAGCAUCUCUGGUGUGGCUUCUCUUACACCAGAGAGUCUCAACCUGUGGGUCGAGACCCCUUUGGGAGUCAAACAACCGUUUCACGGGGGUCGUCUAAGACCACCAGAACACAUAGAGAUUUACAUUACGAUUCAUAAUACUUAGCAAGAUUACAGUCAGGAAGUAGCAGUGAAAAUAAUCUUGUGGUUGGGGGUUACUACAACAUGAGGGUCUGUAUUAAAGUGACAGGGCAUCAGAGCCACUGCCUUAGACAGGGUGAGCAGGGCCAAGGCUAGAUCAUCAUCUAGUCACAAAGCACGCGACCUCUCUCACGAAUACGUCAGUGACUGAUUAAACCAAGGGAAUAGGUUUAGGGUGUUUGGACUCCUUACUGUCUUGGCCUUUCAUGGGCUCAAAAGUGACCAAUCCCAUUAAAAAUUACCUUCAAUCCACAUCCAGUUCCUGCCGUAUACACACACGCGCGCGCACACACACACAUGCACACACACAUGUGCACACACACUCACACACACACACACACACACACACACACACACACACGCACGCACAUGCACACCACACGCACAGCCUGUCAGAGCAGCAUGGUUGUAUUCAUCCUUCAACCCUAGUAGGCAUCCAUUCAACCCCUCCCACUCUAGGAACCCUUUCUCAUUUUUCUUUUAAUAAAUACGAGUUCACCCUG